RNAcentral lists this microRNA precursor (93 nucleotides) under Mus musculus (house mouse). RNAcentral's name for it is "predicted gene, 55530 (ENSMUSG00002076446.1)". Lineage: Eukaryota; Metazoa; Chordata; Mammalia; Rodentia; Muridae. The record is from RNAcentral.
AUGUAUGCAUAUGUGUAUGUGUAUAUGUAUGUGUGUAUAUGUAUAUGUAUUGUGCAUACACACACACACACACACACACACACACACACAUAU